UACGUAGGGGGCAAGCGUUGUCCGGAUUUAUUGGGCGUAAAGAGCGUGUAGGCGGCCAUACAGGUCAGCUGUGAAAACUCGAGGCUCAACCUCGAGACGUCGGUUGAAACCGUAUGGCUAGAGUCCGGAAGAGGAGAGUGGAAUUCCCCGGUGUAGCGGUGAAAAUGCGCAGAUAUCGGGGAAAGAACACCCUAUGGCGAAAGGCAGCUCUCUGGGACGGUACUGACGCUGAGACGCGAAAAGCGUGGGGAGCGAACAGGG
RNAcentral lists this ribosomal RNA (261 nucleotides) under uncultured bacterium. RNAcentral describes it as "partial 16S ribosomal RNA". It matches the Rfam family "Bacterial small subunit ribosomal RNA", at positions 524 to 777 of the family's 1533-position model. The record is from RNAcentral.